Molecule: ribosomal RNA, 786 nt
Filed under: fungal sp.
Lineage: Eukaryota; Fungi
Description: eukaryotic LSU rRNA
Rfam family: Eukaryotic large subunit ribosomal RNA (bases 523-786)
Source: RNAcentral
GUGACCUGCGGAAGGAUCAUUACUGAGUGAGGGCCCCUCGGGGUCCAACCUCCCACCCGUGUUUAACGUACCUUGUUGCUUCGGCGGGCCCGCCUCACGGCCGCCGGGGGGCAUCCGCCCCCGGGCCCGCGCCCGCCGAAGCCACCUGUGAACGCUGUCUGAAGUAUGCAGUCUGAGACAAUUAUUAAAUUAAUUAAAACUUUCAACAACGGAUCUCUUGGUUCCGGCAUCGAUGAAGAACGCAGCGAAAUGCGAUAACUAAUGUGAAUUGCAGAAUUCAGUGAAUCAUCGAGUCUUUGAACGCACAUUGCGCCCUCUGGUAUUCCGGAGGGCAUGCCUGUCCGAGCGUCAUUGCUGCCCUCCAGCCCGGCUGGUGUGUUGGGCCCCGCCCCCCUUCCCGGGGGGGCGGGCCCGAAAGGCAGCGGCGGCACCGCGUCCGGUCCUCGAGCGUAUGGGGCUUUGUCACCCGCUCUUGCAGGCCCGGCCGGCGCCAGCCGACCCCCUCAAUCUAUUUUUUCAGGUUGACCUCGGAUCAGGUAGGGAUACCCGCUGAACUUAAGCAUAUCAAUAAGCGGAGGAAAAGAAACCAACCGGGAUUGCCCUAGUAACGGCGAGUGAAGCGGCAAGAGCUCAAAUUUGAAAGCUGGCUCCUUCGGGGUCCGCAUUGUAAUUUGCAGAGGAUGCUUCGGGAGCGGUCCCCAUCUAAGUGCCCUGGAACGGGCCGUCAUAGAGGGUGAGAAUCCCGUAUGGGAUGGGGUGCCCGCGCCCGUGUGAAGCUCCUUCGAC